Molecule: ribosomal RNA, 481 nt
Filed under: uncultured bacterium
Lineage: Bacteria
Description: partial 16S ribosomal RNA
Rfam family: Bacterial small subunit ribosomal RNA
Source: RNAcentral
AUUGAACGCUGGCGGCAUGCUUUACACAUGCAAGUCGAACGGUAACAGGCCGCAAGGUGCUGACGAGUGGCGAACGGGUGAGUAUGCAUCGGAACGUGCCCAGUCGUGGGGGAUAACUACUCGAAAGAGUAGCUAAUACCGCAUACGAUCUAUGGAUGAAAGCGGGGGACCGUAAGGCCUCGCGCGAUUGGAGCGGCCGAUGUCAGAUUAGGUAGUUGGUGGGGUAAAGGCUCACCAAGCCAACGAUCUGUAGCUGGUCUGAGAGGACGACCAGCCACACUGGGACUGAGACACGGCCCAGACUCCUACGGGAGGCAGCAGUGGGGAAUUUUGGACAAUGGGCGCAAGCCUGAUCCAGCAAUGCCGCGUGCAGGAAGAAGGCCUUCGGGUUGUAAACUGCCUUUGUACGGAACGAAACGGCUCUGGUUAAUACCCGGGGCUAAUGACGGUACCGUAAGAAUAAGCACCGGCUAACUACGUG